GAUGAACGCUGGCGGCGUGCCUAAUACAUGCAAGUCGAGCGAACGGACGAGAAGCUUGCUUCUCUGAUGUUAGCGGCGGACGGGUGAGUAACACGUGGAUAACCUACCUAUAAGACUGGGAUACCUUCGGGAAACCGGAGCUAAUACCGGAUAAUCUUUUGAACCGCAUGGUUCAAAAGUGAAAGACGGUCUUGCUGUCACUUAUAGAUGGAUCCGCGCUGCAUUAGCUAGUUGGUAAGGUAACGGCUUACCAAGGCAACGAUGCAUAGCCGACCUGAGAGGGUGAUCGGCCACACUGGAACUGAGACACGGUCCAGACUCCUACGGGAGGCAGCAGUAGGGAAUCUUCCGCAAUGGGCGAAAGCCUGACGGAGCAACGCCGCGUGAGUGAUGAAGGUCUUCGGAUCGUAAAACUCUGUUAUUAGGGAAGAACAUAUGUGUAAGUAACUGUGCACAUCUUGACGGUACCUAAUCAGAAAGCCACGGCUAACUACGUG
Molecule: ribosomal RNA, 497 nt
Filed under: uncultured bacterium
Lineage: Bacteria
Description: partial 16S ribosomal RNA
Rfam family: Bacterial small subunit ribosomal RNA
Source: RNAcentral